GACGAACGCUGGCGGCGUGCUUAACACAUGCAAGUCGAACGGGAUCUUCACUUCGGUGAAUUUCUAGUGGCGAACGGGUGAGUAACGCGUGGGCAACCUGCCCUUUAGUUGGGGACAACAUUCCGAAAGGGAUGCUAAUACCGGAUGAGCUUCAUUAGCCGCAUGGCUUUUGAAGGAAAGAUGGCCUCUUUACAAUGCUAUCGCUAGAGGAUGGGCCCGCGUUUGAUUAGUUAGUUGGUAGGGUAACGGCCUACCAAGACGACGAUCAAUAGCCGGUCUGAGAGGAUGAACGGCCACAUUGGGACUGAGACACGGCCCAAACUCCUACGGGAGGCAGCAGUGGGGAAUCUUCCGCAAUGGACGAAAGUCUGACGGAGCAACGCCGCGUGAGUGAUGAAGGUUUUCGGAUCGUAAAACUCUGUUGUUUAGGACGAAUGUGCUAUACACUAAUAUUGUAUAGUAUUGACGGUACUAAACGAGAAAGCCACGGCUAACUACGUGCCAGCAGCCGCGGUAAUACGUAGGUGGCAAGCGUUGUCCGGAAUUAUUGGGCGUAAAGAGCAUGUAGGUGGAUUAUUAAGUCGGACGUUAAAAUGCGGGGCUCAACCCCGUAUUGCGUUGGAUACUGGUAAUCUUGAGUGCAGGAGAGGAAAGGGGAAUUCCCAGUGUAGCGGUGAAAUGCGUAGAUAUUGGGAGGAACACCAGUGGCGAAGGCGCCUUUCUGGACUGUAACUGACACUGAGAUGCGAAAGCUAGGGUAGCAAACGGG
RNAcentral lists this ribosomal RNA (769 nucleotides) under uncultured bacterium. RNAcentral's name for it is "bacterial SSU rRNA". It matches the Rfam family "Bacterial small subunit ribosomal RNA", at positions 28 to 776 of the family's 1533-position model. The record is from RNAcentral.